UACGUAGGGGCGAGCGUUGUCCGGAAUUAUUGGGCGUAAAGAGCGUGUAGGCGGUUCGGUAAGUCUGCCGUGAAAACCCUGGGGCUCAACCCCGGGCGUGCGGUGGAUACUGCCGGGCGUAGAGGGUGGUAGAGGCGAGUGGAAUUACCCGGUUCGUAGCGGUGAAAUAGCGUAGAUAUCGCUUGGAACGCCGACGGUGAAAACAGCUCGCUGGGGUCCGAUCUGACGCUGAGACACGAAAGCCAGGGGGAGC
This 253-nucleotide ribosomal RNA is filed under the name uncultured bacterium. RNAcentral describes it as "partial 16S ribosomal RNA". It matches the Rfam family "Bacterial small subunit ribosomal RNA", at positions 524 to 769 of the family's 1533-position model. The record is from RNAcentral.